Molecule: non-coding RNA, 91 nt
Organism: Ixodes scapularis (black-legged tick)
Lineage: Eukaryota; Metazoa; Arthropoda; Arachnida; Ixodida; Ixodidae
Source: Rfam
CCGUCGAUAGCUCAGUUGGUAGAGCGGUGGACUGUAGAGGUUCUCCAACGUUGAUAUCCAUAGGUCGCUGGUUCAAAUCCGGCUCGACGGA